RNAcentral lists this non-coding RNA (689 nucleotides) under Rhizobium tibeticum. Its description in RNAcentral is "Bacterial small subunit ribosomal RNA". It matches the Rfam family "Bacterial small subunit ribosomal RNA", at positions 1 to 738 of the family's 1533-position model. Lineage: Bacteria; Pseudomonadati; Pseudomonadota; Alphaproteobacteria; Hyphomicrobiales; Rhizobiaceae. The record is from Rfam by way of RNAcentral.
CAACAUGAGAGUUUGAUCCUGGCUCAGAACGAACGCUGGCGGCAGGCUUAACACAUGCAAGUCGAGCGCCCCGCAAGGGGAGCGGCAGACGGGUGAGUAACGCGUGGGAACGUACCCUUUACUACGGAAUAACGCAUGGAAACGUGUGCUAAUACCGUAUGUGCCCUUUGGGGGAAAGAUUUAUCGGUAAAGGAUCGGCCCGCGUUGGAUUAGCUAGUUGGUGGGGUAAAGGCCUACCAAGGCGACGAUCCAUAGCUGGUCUGAGAGGAUGAUCAGCCACAUUGGGACUGAGACACGGCCCAAACUCCUACGGGAGGCAGCAGUGGGGAAUAUUGGACAAUGGGCGCAAGCCUGAUCCAGCCAUGCCGCGUGAGUGAUGAAGGCCCUAGGGUUGUAAAGCUCUUUCACCGGUGAAGAUAAUGACGGUAACCGGAGAAGAAGCCCCGGCUAACUUCGUGCCAGCAGCCGCGGUAAUACGAAGGGGGCUAGCGUUGUUCGGAUUUACUGGGCGUAAAGCGCACGUAGGCGGAUCGAUCAGUCAGGGGUGAAAUCCCAGAGCUCAACUCUGGAACUGCCUUUGAUACUGUCGAUCUGGAGUAUGGAAGAGGUGAGUGGAAUUCCGAGUGUAGAGGUGAAAUUCGUAGAUAUUCGGAGGAACACCAGUGGCGAAGGCGGCUCACUGGUCCAUU